RNAcentral lists this ribosomal RNA (293 nucleotides) under uncultured bacterium. RNAcentral describes it as "partial 16S ribosomal RNA". The record is from RNAcentral.
GGACUACUGGGGUAUCUAAUCCUGUUCGCUCCCCACGCUUUCGCUCCUCAGCGUCAGUAUCGGCCCAGAGACCCGCCUUCGCCACCGGUGUUCCUCCUGAUAUCUGCGCAUUUCACCGCUACACCAGGAAUUCCAGUCUCCCCUACCGAACUCUAGCCUGCCCGUAUCGACUGCAGACCACACGGUUGAGCCGUGGGUUUUCACAGUCGACGCAACAAGCCGCCUACGAGCUCUUUACGCCCAAUAAAUCCGGACAACGCUUGCGCCCUACGUCUUACCGCGGCUGCUGGCAC